AUGUUCUCGUCACAGUCACUUAGCCGCGUCAACAACAUCCAUACAGCGCUGAUCAAUGCGCAGAAGGGAAAUCAAUCGGUGGCCUCCUUCUUCGCCGCCAUGAGAGGUCUUGCAGAUGAACUCGCCGCGGCAGGCAAACCCAUCCAAGAUGAUGAGCUCAUGUCCUACAUCAUCCACGGGCUGGACCAAGACUAUCAGCCUCUUGUCUCUGCACUGGAUGCACGCGUCACCCCGGUAACUCUUGAUGAACUCUUUGCUAUGCUUAGUAACUUUGAUCAACGCAUGGCGCAGUACCAAGGCUCCGGUGGUGGCUUCAAGUCAUCGGCCAACUCUGCGUUCAGAGGCCGCGGCGGUGGUGGCGGCUACUCCAACAACUCGCGCGGCGGCGGCCGCUCGGGAAACUCCAAAGGGCGUCGCGGUGGUGGCAGUGGUGGUUCCAACAGAUCCCGCCCGGACUUGCCCCGCUGUCAAAUCUGUGGCAAGCCAGGACAUACGGCGAAGGAUUGUUGGUACCGCUACGAAGAAGAUGAUGGUGACUCCUCGCAAGAUGAAGAGAAAGUUGUC
RNAcentral lists this ribosomal RNA (564 nucleotides) under Triticum aestivum (bread wheat). Its description in RNAcentral is "partial small subunit ribosomal RNA". The stretch from base 139 to 277 matches the Rfam family "Small nucleolar RNA Z247". Lineage: Eukaryota; Viridiplantae; Streptophyta; Magnoliopsida; Poales; Poaceae. The record is from RNAcentral.